This 1197-nucleotide long non-coding RNA is filed under the name Felis catus (domestic cat). RNAcentral's name for it is "lncRNA (ENSFCAG00000042367.2)". Lineage: Eukaryota; Metazoa; Chordata; Mammalia; Carnivora; Felidae. The record is from RNAcentral.
CUGAUUACUAUUUCCUUCAUUCAUAUGAAGUUUUUCCUUCUUCAUUGUAAUGUGAUUUCCAUAAGACAGGGAACCGUUUCCAGUGUAACUGCGAAUGGAAUAUGUGCAGAAGAGUUUGACAAAGAUUUUUAACUCCACGUAGUUAAGACUCCUGUGUUGUUGGCCACACUUUGUCUGGUAGUCAAAAGAAUGCAGAUAAUUCUGUAGUCCUAUUUUCUCUCUUUGUUGUUGUUGUUUUUUUUCUCUUCCCAUUGUGUUUGACUUGUCCUCAAGUUUUACAUCUCUUUAAUUUGUUAAUUUUAUGAUGCCUUUUCUCUUCCUGUUUCAUGGAUCUGCUUUUUAUCCAGGACUUUCUACUCAACAAAUAAUAGUUAAUGGACACAUAAAACAGGAAUGACGAACGUGCUGCAGAAUGCAUCACUCACUGUCAAGGCAGUGGCAUUCUCCAGGAUAGAGAAAGGUGUUGAUAUACAUGGAAAAGGAAGCUCCAGGCAGUGAGGCAAUGAUUUUCCCUUUCAUAUUGUGAUUUUGAAGAGCCUACAGCAGUGAUUAACACUUUUCAGUAAAAUAAUAACAGCAACGAUCAGAAAACAUUCUGAGAGUGCCUGGGAGCAAAGCAGUUGAAUUGUCCCAGCAUUUUCCUAACAGAACCCAGAAACCCUAAUUAUGAUGGGUGUUUCUUCAGGCAAGCCAUACACAUUUGCUACUGAAAUCAACAACUUCAGUGCCUGUGGUGUUAUAAACACAUGGUGGGCCCUCCCUCAUGGCAUGGAGGAAAGUGCACUGGAUUUGAAAUCAGAACAUCUGGCUUGGGGCCUGGCACUCUGCCCCCGCUGUGUCUUAUUUCACGUCAGGUGAGGUCCUUUAUUUGGAAUCCAUGCCAUUGGUCAAUCCUUGUGGUGACCCCCUGAGCUAGCUGUCACCACUCCCGUUGUUUAGGCAGGGACGCCAGGGUUUUGCAGGUUAAAACAGUGCCACAUGGCUGCUGAGUGGGAGACAUCAGGCAACACAGCGCUCCUGAUCCCAACAUUCGUUUUUCUCAUUGUCCCGGGGUAUUUUUAUUACCCAUGUUUCAUUGGACAAAUACUUACUCUCUCUGAGUCUUAGUCCCUUUUAAACUGUAGAUAUUUAUAUUUGGGCUUUUGUGAAGAUCAGAUGAAAUCAUUGAAAUUGAAUGUGCUGUUUAAAGUGAAAUAC